RNAcentral lists this ribosomal RNA (435 nucleotides) under uncultured bacterium. Its description in RNAcentral is "partial 16S ribosomal RNA". It matches the Rfam family "Bacterial small subunit ribosomal RNA", at positions 28 to 507 of the family's 1533-position model. The record is from RNAcentral.
GAUGAACGCUGGCGGUAUGCUUAACACAUGCAAGUCGAACGGACUCUUCGGAGUUAGUGGCGGACGGGUGAGUAACGCGUGAGAAUCUGGCUUUGGGUUCGGGACAACCACUGGAAACGGUGGCUAAUACCGGAUGUGCCGAGAGGUAAAAGAGAAAUUGCCUGAAGAUGAGCUCGCGUCUGAUUAGCUAGUUGGUGAGGUAAAGGCUCACCAAGGCAGCGAUCAGUAGCUGGUCUGAGAGGAUGACCAGCCACACUGGGACUGAGACACGGCCCAGACUCCUACGGGAGGCAGCAGGGGGGAAUUUUCCGCAAUGGGCGAAAGCCUGACGGAGCAAUACCGCGUGAGGGAAGAAGGCUCUUGGGUCGUAAACCUCUUUUCUUAGGGAAGAACAAAAUGACGGUACCUAAGGAAUCAGCAUCGGCUAACUCCGUG